Nycticebus coucang (slow loris) is the source of this 516-nucleotide non-coding RNA. The record is from the annotation of a RefSeq genome assembly. NCBI's taxonomy places the organism in Eukaryota, Metazoa, Chordata, Mammalia, Primates, Lorisidae.
AUGUCCCUACGCAGCUCCACUUUUCUCCCUGGUUUCUCAACCAUGAACAUCCGUGUUUACAGGUUCCCUCUCCCAGCCUGUGCUGACUCAGCCACCCUCCCUCUCUGCCACUCCUGGAGCAUCAGCCAGACUCACCUGCACCCUGAGCAGCGGCUUUGUUGUUGGUGGCUAUCACAUGUCCUGGUACCAGCAGAAGCCAGGGAGCCCUCCCCGGUAUCUCCUGAGGUUCAAGUCUGACUCAGAUAAGCACCAGGGCUCCGGAGUCCCCAGCCGCUUCUCUGGAUCCAAAGAUGCCUCGGCCAAUGCAGGGAUCCUGUACAUCUCCGGGCUGCAGGCAGAGGACGAGGCUGACUAUUACUGUGGCACAUUACAUACCAACAGUGGCAAGUACACAGUGCUCCAGACCCAGGGGGAAGUGACAGAAAACCUCCCCUGGUAUCAGACACAGCUGCCCUGCCUGGGGCCAAAUUAAACUAAAGAUUGAGGUCUGUUAUUACUUUUUUCACCAGCGCUUAA